Molecule: microRNA precursor, 209 nt
Filed under: Oryza brachyantha (malo sina)
Lineage: Eukaryota; Viridiplantae; Streptophyta; Magnoliopsida; Poales; Poaceae
Description: MIR812 microRNA precursor family
Rfam family: MIR812 microRNA precursor family
Source: Rfam by way of RNAcentral
AACAAAUCAAUCUUUCAUUUUUUAUCUAUAAUAUUUGACUUUUCGUUUUAUUUAAAAAACUUUUACGGUUAAUAUUUUUAUUUUUAUUAGAUGAUAAAUCGUGAAUAGUUAGUACUUUACGUGUGACUUAUUUUUUUAAUUUCUUAAUUUUUUUUCAAAUAAAACGGAUGAUCAAACGCUGAACACGGAAACCCAAAGUUUGUCUUAUU